UACGAAGGGGGCUAGCGUUGCUCGGAUUGACUGGGCGUAAAGGGCGCGUAGGCGGUUCGUACAGUCAGACGUGAAAUUCCUGGGCUCAACCUGGGGGCUGCGUUUGAUACGUGCGGACUUGAGUGCGGAAGAGGGAAGCGGAAUUUCCGGUGUAGCGGUGAAAUGCGUAGAUAUCGGAAGGAACACCAGUGGCGAAAGCGGCUUCCUGGUCCAGCACCGACGUUCAGGCACGAAAGCGUGGGGAGCAAACAGG
This 253-nucleotide ribosomal RNA is filed under the name uncultured bacterium. Its description in RNAcentral is "partial 16S ribosomal RNA". It matches the Rfam family "Bacterial small subunit ribosomal RNA", at positions 524 to 776 of the family's 1533-position model. The record is from RNAcentral.